GAUGAAGAACGUAGCGAAAUGCGAUAAAUAAUGUGAAUUGCAGAAUUCAGUGAAUCAUCGAAUCUUUGAACGCACCUUGCGCCUUUUGGUAUUCCGAAAGGCACACCUGUUUGAGCGUCAUGAAUACCUCAAUCUCCAUCUUUUCUUCGGAUUGAUGGGUGACUUGGAUGUUGAGCCCUGCUGGUAUGCUAUAUCAGCUGGCUUUAAACUUAUUAGCCGGCUCUGUACUGGAUCGGUUUGACUCGACGUGAUAAUAUUAUCGUUGAGGAUGCAUGUCUCAUGCAGCCGGAAAGUAUCAAAGCAGCUUCUAGCUUGCCUUUAGUGCACUUUUACAUUUUAGACCUCAGAUCAGGUGGGACUACCCGCUGAACUUAAGCAUAUCAAUAAGCGGAGGA
RNAcentral lists this unclassified non-coding RNA (395 nucleotides) under soil metagenome. Its description in RNAcentral is "partial contains 5.8S ribosomal RNA, internal transcribed spacer 2, and large subunit ribosomal RNA". The stretch from base 1 to 120 matches the Rfam family "5.8S ribosomal RNA", at positions 35 to 154 of the family's 154-position model. The record is from RNAcentral.